Molecule: ribosomal RNA, 253 nt
Filed under: uncultured bacterium
Lineage: Bacteria
Description: partial 16S ribosomal RNA
Rfam family: Bacterial small subunit ribosomal RNA
Source: RNAcentral
GACGAAGGGGGCUAGCGUUGUUCGGAAUUACUGGGCGUAAAGCGAGUGUAGGUGGUUGUCGUAGUCAGGUGUGAAAGCCUUGAGCUCAACUCAAGAAAUGCACUUGAUACUCGGCGGCUAGAGGACCGGAGAGGAUAGUGGAAUUCCCAGCGUAGUGGUGAAAUACGUAGAGAUUGGGAAGAACACCAGUGGCGAAGGCGGCUAUCUGGACGGUUUCUGACACUAAGACUCGAAAGCGUGGGGAGCAAACAGG